This 246-nucleotide ribosomal RNA is filed under the name uncultured Eubacteriales bacterium. RNAcentral's name for it is "uncultured Clostridiales bacterium partial 16S ribosomal RNA". It matches the Rfam family "Bacterial small subunit ribosomal RNA", at positions 796 to 1041 of the family's 1533-position model. The record is from RNAcentral. Lineage: Bacteria; Bacillati; Bacillota; Clostridia; Eubacteriales.
CACGCCGUAAACGAUGGAUACUAGGUGUAGGGGGUAUCGACUCCCCCUGUACCGUAGCAAACGCAUUAAGUAUCCCGCCUGAGUAGUACGGUCGCAAGGCUAAAACUCAAAGAAAUUGACGGGGACCCGCACAAGCAGCGGAGCAUGUGGUUUAAUUCGAAGCAACGCGAAGAACCUUACCAAGACUUGACAUCUAUAUGACCGCCUUCGAAAAAGGGCUUCUCUUCGGAGCAUAUAGACAGGUGG